This 270-nucleotide ribosomal RNA is filed under the name uncultured Eubacteriales bacterium. RNAcentral's name for it is "uncultured Clostridiales bacterium partial 16S ribosomal RNA". It matches the Rfam family "Bacterial small subunit ribosomal RNA", at positions 75 to 339 of the family's 1533-position model. The record is from RNAcentral. Lineage: Bacteria; Bacillati; Bacillota; Clostridia; Eubacteriales.
AGAGCUUGCUCUUAAUGAAAGUUAGUGGCGGACGGGUGAGUAACGCGUGAGUAACCUGCCUUUCAGAGGGGGAUAACAUCCUGAAAAGGAUGCUAAUACCGCAUAACAUCUUAGUAUCGCAUGGUAUUGAGAUCAAAGGAGCAAUCCGCUGGAAGAUGGACUCGCGUCCGAUUAGCUAGUUGGCGGGGUAAAGGCCCACCAAGGCGACGAUCGGUAGCCGGACUGAGAGGUUGAACGGCCACAUUGGGACUGAGACACGGCCCAGACUCC